This 80-nucleotide transfer RNA is filed under the name Dreissena polymorpha. Its description in RNAcentral is "tRNA-Ser". The record is from RNAcentral. Lineage: Eukaryota; Metazoa; Mollusca; Bivalvia; Myida; Dreissenidae.
GUUCGUGGCCGAGAGGUUAAGGCGAUAGAUAAGAAAUAAUUUGGGAUCUUCCCGCGCAGGGUCGAAUCCUGCCGACAACG